Paramuricea clavata is the source of this 460-nucleotide non-coding RNA. Lineage: Eukaryota; Metazoa; Cnidaria; Anthozoa; Malacalcyonacea; Plexauridae. The record is from the annotation of a GenBank genome assembly.
GUUCAUUGUUCAUUCUCAUGUUUGAAUGGGAAAAAUAAAUAAAAGAAAACACAGAAUACCGAAUUCAUAGUCAAAUAGGUGAUUUGAACUGACAUGUUUUAUCUAUAAGGGAAUGUUUCUUAUAGAACCAUCUCAAUCUUCUCAUUGUUCAAUUGAUGUUACAAAGCCAAAUAAUGACAAACUGAAUGGUUUUAUUUUUUGCCACAAAUUACGAUAUCUUAACAUGGAAAAUCCUUCAAAACUUGAAAACCCAAAUAAGCAUGCAUUUUUCAAGAACUAGCUAUUAUGCCAAACAUGAAAAACGUAUAUCCAAACUGAAAACAUAUAUGUACACUUUUCAAAACACACAGUUUAUCAUUCCUUGGCUUGAUCUGAAAUUACAAUGCUUUGAAAACUAGUAACUGCCCGUGAUUAGUGACUUCAACAAAACAGAGCGUAAAACUGCAAUUUCCAAAUCUAC